This 253-nucleotide ribosomal RNA is filed under the name uncultured bacterium. RNAcentral's name for it is "partial 16S ribosomal RNA". It matches the Rfam family "Bacterial small subunit ribosomal RNA", at positions 524 to 776 of the family's 1533-position model. The record is from RNAcentral.
UACGUAGGAGGCAAGCGUUGUCCGGAAUUACUGGGUGUAAAGCGCGUGUAGGCGGCAGGCCAAGUCUGUGGUGAAAUCGCUCGGCUCAACUGGGCGGGGUCCAUGGAAACUGGUCAGCUGGAGGACGGUAGAGGUGAGUGGAAUUCCCGGUGUAGUGGUGAAAUGCGUAGAUAUCCGGAGGAACACCGGUGGCGAAGGCGGCUUCCUGGACCGACACUGACGCUGAGGCGCGAAAGCUAGGGGAGCAAACGGG